GACGAACGCUGGCGGCGUGCUUAACACAUGCAAGUCGAACGCUGAAGCUCAGCUUUUGUUGGGUGGAUGAGUGGCGAACGGGUGAGUAACACGUGAGUAACCUGCCUCCUUCUUUGGGAUAACGCCCGGAAACGGGUGCUAAUACUGGAUAUUCACUGGUCUUCGCAUGGGGGUUGGUGGAAAGGGUUUUUCUGGUGGGGGAUGGGCUCGCGGCCUAUCAGCUUGUUGGUGGGGUGAUGGCCUACCAAGGCUUUGACGGGUAGCCGGCCUGAGAGGGUGACCGGUAGCAUUGGGACUGAGAUACGGCCCAGACUCCGACGGGAGGCAGCAGUGGGGAAUAUUGCGCAAUGGGCGCAAGCCUGAUGCAGCGACGCCGCGUGAGGGAUGGAGGCCUUCGGGUUGGGAACCUCUUUCGCUCAUGGUCAAGCCGCAACAAUGGUUGUGGUGAGGGUAGUGGGUAAAGAAGCGCCGGCUAACUACGUG
This 483-nucleotide ribosomal RNA is filed under the name uncultured bacterium. RNAcentral's name for it is "partial 16S ribosomal RNA". It matches the Rfam family "Bacterial small subunit ribosomal RNA", at positions 28 to 507 of the family's 1533-position model. The record is from RNAcentral.